RNAcentral lists this ribosomal RNA (403 nucleotides) under uncultured bacterium. Its description in RNAcentral is "bacterial SSU rRNA". It matches the Rfam family "Bacterial small subunit ribosomal RNA", at positions 356 to 773 of the family's 1533-position model. The record is from RNAcentral.
GGGGAAUAUUGCACAAUGGGGGAAACCCUGAUGCAGCAACGCCGCGUGAGGGAAGAAGGUCUUCGGAUUGUAAACCUUUGUCCUUGGUGACGAAACAAAUGACGGUAGCCAAGGAGGAAGCUCCGGCUAACUACGUGCCAGCAGCCGUGGUAAUACGUAGGGAGCAAGUGUUGUCCGGAUUUACUGGGUGUAAAGGGUGCGUAGGCGGCUCUGCAAGUCAGGCGUGAAAACUAUGGGCUUAACCCAUAGACUGCGUUUGAAACUGUGGGGCUUGAGUGAAGUAGAGGUAGGCGGAAUUCCCGGUGUAGCGGUGAAAUGCGUAGAGAUCGGGAGGAACACCAGUGGCGAAGGCGGCCUACUGGGCUUUAACUGACGCUGAAGCACGAAAGCAUGGGUAGCAAAC